RNAcentral lists this long non-coding RNA (1271 nucleotides) under Salmo salar (Atlantic salmon). Its description in RNAcentral is "lncRNA (ENSSSAG00000092132.1)". Lineage: Eukaryota; Metazoa; Chordata; Actinopteri; Salmoniformes; Salmonidae. The record is from RNAcentral.
CUUUUAAUAACCCAAUACAUCACCAAGCAUGUCCCAAUCCCUAAAAUUGCAAAAACUUGCAUAAUUGCAAAAACUUGCAUAUGUAAAUAAAAAAUUUGUAAACCUUCUCACUGACCAACAGGGCGUGGCCAUCUUAAAACCGCCAAGUCGGUGACGUCAUCUGCAUGUUUUUUUUUGUAAUCUGCAUGGUUUUAAUUUUAUUUUUUAUUAACAACAAACCAAUACAGGAAGUACAUGUGGGAACACAAGUAUAUAUGAAUAAUAUACAAUGGACAAUUGGGCUAGGGGGUACAAUAUCACAUUAAACAAGGACCUUAAGGGACAUACAUACAUUAAUAAUUCUAACAGCUUUUUUGUUAGUAGAGUAUUUAAUUGUCUUACAAAAAAAAGAACUGUAUUUUAAGGUAAGAAAGUGUUUUUUUUGUUUAUCAAUUUACAUUUGUGAAUAUGAAAUUUUGCCAAAAGAAUAAAGAAAUUAAUUACAUAAAAUGUUUCAGCUUAUUUCUAUCGUAGGUAAAGAAUCCAAGCAGUCCAUCUCUCCACAAUAGUGUAAGAUCUUCAUAAAUGUGUUCAAUUAUAAAUCUACUGAUGUCUUGCCACAGUUUUCUUACAUGAAUGCAAUGCAAAAAAGAUGCAACACUGUUUCUGGGUGGUCAUUACAAAAGGAGCAAUUUGAGUUGAUGUUUUCCUUAAACUUAUUCAUAUAGUGGUUGGCAGGAUAAUAUUUAUGAAUAAUUUUAAGGGAAACUUCCUUAAUUUUGUUAACAAGUAUGUAUGUGUGUGGCAACAUCCAAACAUUUUUUUACCAGAGAUAUUAUCAAUAAAUCCAUUCCAAUAAGGCAUGACAUAAGGUAUAGAUACAACAUCCUGCUGAAACAAGGUUCGUAUUGCUCUGUUGUUGAAUGGACCAAAAGAGAAACAAAUCUUCCCUACUGAUGAACCAACAGGAUCAACGGAAGGGCUCUAAUGAUGUUACAACUGCAGGAAAUAAUCACCACAACAGGUUGAAUAAAGUCUGCAAUGUUCAUCAGGAGGUUGUGGGCCAGCUUCCAAGAUUCCCCAGAGUUGUCAGGAUACUCCAGAAUACACACCAUUGUCUGAAGUUCAUCAACAAACAUCACCUUUCUGUGAAUCGUCGCCAGCACCCCCAUCAGCAGCCCAAACAGCCACAGGAUGAGACAGACCACCAAUGCGUAGCACUUCCUCCUCAGCCAACUGGCCCUUAUGGUCCUCACCAGCGCUAAGUAGCGGUCCACACUAACCAUUGCCAA